Molecule: small nuclear RNA, 321 nt
Filed under: Heterocephalus glaber (naked mole-rat)
Lineage: Eukaryota; Metazoa; Chordata; Mammalia; Rodentia; Bathyergidae
Description: 7SK RNA
Rfam family: 7SK RNA
About the family: 7SK was discovered as an abundant small nuclear RNA in the mid-70s but a possible function has only recently been suggested. Two independent studies have found that 7SK RNA binds the CDK9/cyclin T complex (known as elongation factor P-TEFb).
Source: Rfam by way of RNAcentral
GGAUGUGAGGAUGAUCUGGGUGCGACAUCUGUCACCCCAUUGAUUGCCAGGGUUGAUUCGGCUGAUCUGGCCGGCCAGGCGGGUGUCCCCUUCCUCCUUCACCGCUCCAUGUGUGUCCCUCCCAAAGCUGUGUGCUCGGUCGAAGAGGACGACCACCCCCGAUAGAGGAGGACCGUUUCCUCAGUCAAGGGUAUACGAGUAGCUGUGCUCCCCUACUAGAACCUCAAACAAGCUCUCAGGGUCUAUUUGUAAAGAGUACUAUUAUACGUAUUUAUUCCAUAACCUCUUGCAUGGAGCCUUAUAUCUAGUAGGUGCUUGGCA